UACGAAGGGGGGCUAGCGUUGCUCGGAAUCACUGGGCGUAAAGGGUGCGUAGGCGGGUCUUUUAAGUCAGGGGGUGAAAUCCUGGAGCUCAACUCCAGAACUGCCUUUGAUACUGAAGAUCUUGAGUUCGGGAGAGGUGAGUGGAACUGCGAGUGUAGAGGUGAAAUUCGUAGAUAUUCGCAAGAACACCAGUGGCGAAGGCGGCUCACUGGCCCGAUACUGACGCUGAGGCACGAAAGCGUGGGGAGCAAACAGG
RNAcentral lists this ribosomal RNA (256 nucleotides) under uncultured bacterium. RNAcentral describes it as "partial 16S ribosomal RNA". It matches the Rfam family "Bacterial small subunit ribosomal RNA", at positions 524 to 776 of the family's 1533-position model. The record is from RNAcentral.